This 2310-nucleotide long non-coding RNA is filed under the name Homo sapiens (human). RNAcentral describes it as "HSALNT0401021". Lineage: Eukaryota; Metazoa; Chordata; Mammalia; Primates; Hominidae. The record is from RNAcentral.
AAUAGGCAGAAAGGAGAACUGAAGGAGAAGUCUAGAGAAGCCAGCUACACCUACAUUAGAAAGAGUGGAACAGAUCACGGGUCACAGGAUUAAGGCUAGAUGGGGUUUGAGAUGUGGGAAGACUUGAGGUCAUUUUGAGUUUUGAGAAAAGGAGAGACAUGAAGAGGCAGAAAACAUGUUUACUGGACCCAGCUACUUUGCAGUGAUUAGUGGGACCUUCAGAACAUAAAUAGAUCCUAAGGAGUGAAUGCUUGUACCCCUUCCAAAAUUUAUAUGCUGAAGCCUUUAUAUGGUUGUAUGUAAAGACAGACCCACUAAUGAAGUAAUUAAGGUUAAAUGGAGUCAUAAGAGAGAGGCCCUAAUUCCAUAAGAUUAGUGUCCUUAUAAGAAGAGACUCCAGAGAACUCACUUUCUCACUCUCUCCCUCCCUUUCCUUGCAUACAAACCAAGGGAAAAUCAUAUGAGAACAUAGCAAGAAGGUAGCUGUCUGAAAGCCAGGAAGAGAGGCCUCAGCAGGAAAUGAAUCAGCAAGAACCUUGAUCUUGGACUUCUAGCCUCCAGAAUUCUUACAGUCUAUCAUGGAAUGCAGACAAGUCAACAGAUCUUUAUCUUUCAUUAAUAAUCGAUAUAGAAAAUAUAAACAUAAGGUGCCAUGGAAGAAUAUCUUCAAUCAAAUCCAGCAAAAUACCUGUUCUCUACGCUAGGUGCACAGGUGUCUUGACUCAUUGCUGCCACACAUUGGCCACUCUCAUCGAAUUCAGAGGACUCAUGGAAACCACACACCCACUAGCUGUUCCCUCAGAAGCCCCUGAAUUACCAACAAAAAGCUGGUUCGUCUCGGCUACUGAGAAAUAAUUUGUCAUGUUUCAUCCCCUAAAUGAAAGAUGCCAGACUGAAUGCCCGUCUGAGAAAGGGACAGAGCAUGAGAUCUAACAAAGAACCUCAGCACUCAAAAAGUUUACCACUAAAAUGGAGUGACAAGGAAAGCAGGGGAAGAAAAAUCACUACUGGAAGUACUGCUACUAUCACCACUGCUCCUGGGAGGAAUCACCGCAGCAGCUGUUCAUCAAGUGCUUCCUGCAGCCAAUCACUAGGCUAAAAGCACCUGACAUGCCACAUCACAGCAGCUUGCUAACAAUAGCUGCUGUGAUUCUCACUUAACAAUAAAAGUGUGGCUCAGCGAGGCCAAGGAGCUUUUUCAAAAUCUUGUCACUAAUAAAUCUCAGAGUCCAGGCUUGAACCCAUGUCAACCUGACCCUAACGCCUUGGUCUUCACCUGAGUGCUUGCUAUGUGCCAGGCAUUGUCAACAGUACUUUAUAUUAAUUGUGUCACUUAAUUGUUAAACAGCCCUAUCAGUUCUCCAUCAAUAUUCCCUGAAGGGAAUGGGGCCUUGGAAAGAUUAGUGAACUGGACCCCUGACAUGAUCUCUUCCUUCCAAUACUUACAAUAAACUACUGUUUAGUAUGGAGAAGAAAGACUAGUGGAUAUUGAAGAACUGGCAGAAUAAACACUUGCAUAGAUGGAAGAUGUACAGAGGAUGUAUGCGAUACAGGACUUUAAAGAAUGCUGACAUCUUUGUGGCUGAAAUUAAUUGGAAAUUUUAAAGUUCUUGAAAAAUGUCGAGUUGAUUUCUCAGAUGUUUUACUCACCGAUAAUAUGUGCUUUAUCCACGUCAGUGCACUUUUGCCAUAAAUUAUUGUUGUUAUCACUAUUAUUAUUUUACUUUGCCAAUCUGAAAUCCGUCCUGGAAUUUGGCACAUGUAUGGGAUAUGGAUAGAAAAUAAGAGCAAAGAGGAAUUCAAGAUAAUGAGGCAAUAUAAACAAAAGUUGAAAAGAGAAAAUGAGCAUGCAGUGCCUAGAGAUGCCAAGGAAUCCAGAUCACUGAGGUCGGAUAGAUGUGUCUUUCCAGAAUUUGAUGAGGUUAACCAGGUAGAGCCAGAUGGUAGAGAUCCUUGAAUACCAGGCAAGGGAGUUCAUCUCUCCACCUGUAAGCAUGAAGGAGCCACGGGAGAUUUUGCAAAGGGAAUGACCAAAACGAAAAUGGCAUUUAGGAAAUGAGUUUGCCAGAAGUACCUGGGAGAAAUGGGGACUAGGCACUGAGAAUGUAAUUCAUAGCACAGCAGAACAGAUACUAAAAGAUCGUUCUGGAAGCAGAAGGGCUGGUUUCCAGCUUUUCUGAGGUUGUUUCACUGUGGGUAACUGCUAAGGCCUUCACCCUUGAUGCCAGAGGUGCUGAAACACAUUGCCACACGGCGAAAGAAGUGCCCUAUUGGCCCAAACACAUUGAAUAAACAUCUACCUCAAACCUU